RNAcentral lists this ribosomal RNA (119 nucleotides) under Pteropus alecto (black flying fox). The record is from RNAcentral. Lineage: Eukaryota; Metazoa; Chordata; Mammalia; Chiroptera; Pteropodidae.
GUCUACAGCCAUGCUACCCUGAACAUGCCUGAUCGUGUCUGAUCUCGGAAGCUAAGCAGCGUCAGGCCUGGUUAGUACUUGGAUGGGAGACCACCUAGGAAUACCAGGUGCUGCAGGUA